UUUAAAUUAAGCCUAAAGAUUUUUCUGGGCCAGGCGUGGUGGCUCAUGCCUGUAAUCCCAGCACUUUGGGAGGUUGAGAUGGGCAGAUCGCUUGAGUUCAGGAGUUCGAGACAAGCCUGGCCAACAUGGUGAAACCCCAUCUCUACUAAAAAUACAAAAAUUAGCCAGGCGUGGAGGGGAGCACCUCUAAUCCCAGCUACUCAGGAGGCUGAGGCAGGAGAAUCACUUGAACCCAGGAGGCGCUGGUUGCAGUGAGCUGAGAUUGUGCCACUGCACUCCAGCCUGGGUGACAGAGCAAGACUCCAUCUC
Molecule: long non-coding RNA, 309 nt
Filed under: Homo sapiens (human)
Lineage: Eukaryota; Metazoa; Chordata; Mammalia; Primates; Hominidae
Description: non-protein coding lnc-RNF217-2:1
Source: RNAcentral